RNAcentral lists this transfer RNA (84 nucleotides) under Cordylochernes scorpioides. RNAcentral describes it as "tRNA-Thr". The record is from RNAcentral. Lineage: Eukaryota; Metazoa; Arthropoda; Arachnida; Pseudoscorpiones; Chernetidae.
AUAAAAAGUGUCCAGGGGCGGGAAUCGAACCCACACCAUUCUGCUUACCGGGCAGGUGCCUUGUCCACUCGCCAUUACUCUUCA